Molecule: long non-coding RNA, 1729 nt
Organism: Ruditapes philippinarum (Manila clam)
Lineage: Eukaryota; Metazoa; Mollusca; Bivalvia; Venerida; Veneridae
Exons: 2
Source: RefSeq, a predicted model, not a curated record
AUUGCUUGAUAUAUUCAAUUGAACUUACAAUACUUAUUUAUAGUAACAAUGUACAUCAGGUUGACAAGUUGCGUACAAUAUCUCAAUUAUUGCUUGGCAUAUUCAAUUGAAAUUUAAAAUACUUUUUUAUAGUAACAAUGGACAUCAGUUUGCAAAAUUGCAGAACUCUGCCUGCAAUAUUUGCAGAAUUAUUUGCCCCUUUGAAACUUAGAAAUUUUGGUUAAAGGUUAAAGAUAUUUACUUGAAACUUUACACAUGCACUUAGGGUCAUAAUUGGAGGGUCAUAAUUGUAUGUCACUGACCAAUUUCCAUAACUCUAUCUUGCAUUAAGGCUGAUUCAUAUCCCCUUUUCUACUUAGUCUCUUGGUUAAUGUUUACAUGCAAGUUUUACAUAUCUCAAUAACUAUUAAAGAUAUUUAUUUAAAACUUCACAUAUGCAUUUAGGGUCAUAAUUGUAGGUCACUGACAAAGAUCCAUAAUUCUAUCUUGCAUUUAGGCUGAUUUUUCUCCCUUUUUUUAACUUAAAAAUUCAUGGUAAAGUUUUGCUUGUAAGCUGUUAUCUAAAUAACUACUGAAGGGUUUGUGCCUUUUUUGGGACAAUUUAAUGCAUUCAUAAUAAUAAAGCAGUGAUUUACUUGAUAAAACAUCUUAAUAACAAGCCUUUGUACCUUUUCUGUCAAAUUUAUGUAUUCAUAGGUAAUAAGUAUUAUUAUACUCAAUAAAACACCCUUGUGACAUUACCUUCCGAAUAGUCAAGCCAAUACUGUAUAAUUAGACUCUCUCUAAGGCCUAUAACAUGAAUUUAUAAAAAAAAAUUAGCCCUUUUGUGAACUUAAAAAAUUUAACAUUAUCAAGGCUCCUUUACUAUCAAGCACUUAGAAUAGUCGAGCCUGCUGUCCUACCGACAGCUAUUGUUAUUGUAAGAUACAUUGAUGUCGAUUUAGCAAGAAGGAAUUUAGGUAUAUUAAUAAUUUCAGUUUUAUAAUGUAUAUCAUAAGUGCCAUUUUUGUAUGUGUAUAUUUAGUUUAACUGUUACAAUCCUGGAAUUGAAACUGCAAGUCUUUAUAUUAGACCAGUGUACCGGUGUAUUAUACGUCCCUGCAGUCUGACUUGGCUCUAUUAUACUGUUGGAGGCUAAGUUUAGUACAUGUUCAUAAAUUAUUAUGAUAAUGAAAUCCUUUUAAUUUCAAAUUCCAAGGACAUGUACAUUGUACAAAUCCAGCUGUGUAGGGUAAAUGUAUGUAUCUGCAUUACAUAGAAUGGUUUCUUCCAAGAUUUAUAAAGGAUUUUGUUUGUGCUUUUUGGUGUUUAAUUUAAAAAAUAUUUGCAGCACUAUGCAGGAACAGAAUAUGAAGGAUCAUAUUUGCCUAGAUUAUAACUUAUUAUUAAACAUAAAUUUAAUAUUAUGUGGAUAAUAAAGACGGCAUAUAAUUUGUGUGCAAUAUAUCAAUAAAAGUGAACAAUUACACAAUGACAUGAAUUCUUGAAAUAUUAUUAUUGUUAAAUAGACUGGGUCCAAGACUUUUUUUUAUUCAAAUAUUGAUUCAAUAAUUCUUUUAGACUGGUUUACUGCGGAUAGACAGUUUUUGUUUUGGGUUUUAUAUGUUGAAAUGGUUGUAAUGAAAUGUAGUUAAAGAAAAUGGCUGUAUAUAUGGCUCUUGUAUUCUAAUAGUCUUAUCAUAUGGAAAUAUGUUUUUGUUUCAGUUAUAUUAAAACACAGAAAAAAUUA